RNAcentral lists this ribosomal RNA (1504 nucleotides) under uncultured bacterium. RNAcentral describes it as "bacterial SSU rRNA". It matches the Rfam family "Bacterial small subunit ribosomal RNA". The record is from RNAcentral.
GCGCCCCGCGCCCGUCCCGCCGCCCCCGCCGAAGUUUGAUCCUGGCUCAGGACGAACGCUGGCGGCGUGCCUAACACAUGCAAGUCGAACGAAGCAUUUAGAACCGAUCCCUUCGGGGUGACGUCCUUUAUGACUUAGUGGCGGACGGGUGAGUAACACGUGAGCAACCUGCCUCUCAGAGUGGAAUAACAGUUGGAAACGGCUGCUAAUACCGCAUAACGUUUUUGUGCCGCAUGACACUAUAACCAAAGAUUUAUCGCUGAGAGAUGGGCUCGCGUCCGAUUAGGUAGAUGGUGGGGUAACGGCCUACCAUGCCGACGAUCGGUAGCCGGACUGAGAGGUUGAUCGGCCACAUUAGGACUGAGACACGGCCCAGACUCCUACGGGAGGCAGCAGUGGGGGAUAUUGCACAAUGGGCGCAAGCCUGAUGCAGCAACGCCGCGUGCGGGAAGACGGCCUUCGGGUUGUAAACCGCUGUCCUUGGGGAAGAAACAAAUGACGGUACCCAAGAAGGAAGCCACGGCUAACUACGUGCCAGCAGCCGCGGUAAUACGUAGGUGGCAAGCGUUGUCCGGAUUUACUGGGCGUAAAGGGAGCGUAGGCGGUUUGGUGUGUCGAAUGUGAAAGCCCGCAACUCAACUGCGGAAUGGCAUUCGAAACUACCAGGCUAGAGUACUGGAGAGGAGAGCGGAAUUCUUGGUGUAGCGGUGAAAUGCGUAGAUAUCAAGAGGAACACCGGUGGCGAAGGCGGCUCUCUGGACAGAUACUGACGCUGAGGCUCUAAAGUUAGGGGAGCAAACAGGAUUAGAUACCCUGGUAGUCCUAACUGUAAACGGUGUACACUUGGUGUGCGAGGAAUUGUCCCUUUGCGCGCCGCAGCUAACGCGUUAAGUGUACCGCCUGGGGAGUACGGUCGCAAGAUUAAAACUCAAAGGAAUUGACGGGGACCCGCACAAGCGGUGGAGCAUGUGGCUUAAUUCGAUGCAACGCGAAGAACCUUACCUGGACUUGACAUGCCAGUGGUAGAACCCUGAAAGGGGGACGAUCCCGCGCAAGCGGGAAGCUGGCACAGGUGCUGCAUGGCUGUCGUCAGCUCGUGCCGUGAGGUGUUGGGUUAAGUCCCGCAACGAGCGCAACCCCUGUGGCUAGUUGCCCUUAUUCAGUUAGGCACUCUAGCCAGACUGCCUGUGAUAAGCAGGAGGAAGGUGGGGAUGACGUCAAGUCAGUAUGGUCCUUAUGUCCAGGGCUGCACACGUGCUACAAUGACCGGUACAGAAGGAAGCAAGGCCGCGAGGCGGAGCUAAUCCCUAAAACCGGUCUCAGUUCGGAUUGGAGUCUGCAACCCGACUCCAUGAAGCUGGAAUCGCUAGUAACGGCGCAUCAGCUACGGCGCCGUGAAUACGUUCCCGGGUCUUGUACACACCGCCCGUCACAUCAUGGGAGCCGAUGGUACCCGAAGUCGUUCUUUACGGACGCCCAAGGUACGAUUGGUGACUGGGAUGAA